UACGAAGGGUGCAAGCGUUAAUCGGAAUUACUGGGCGUAAAGCGUGCGUAGGCGGUCUUUUAAGUCUGCUGUGAAAUCCCCGGGCUCAACCUGGGAAUGGCAGUGGAUACUGGGAGGCUAGAGUGUGUCAGAGGAUGGUGGAAUUCCCGGUGUAGCGGUGAAAUGCGUAGAGAUCGGGAGGAACAUCAGUGGCGAAGGCGGCCAUCUGGGACAACACUGACGCUGAGGCACGAAAGCGUGGGGAGCAAACAGG
This 253-nucleotide ribosomal RNA is filed under the name uncultured bacterium. RNAcentral's name for it is "partial 16S ribosomal RNA". It matches the Rfam family "Bacterial small subunit ribosomal RNA", at positions 524 to 776 of the family's 1533-position model. The record is from RNAcentral.